This 450-nucleotide ribosomal RNA is filed under the name uncultured bacterium. RNAcentral's name for it is "partial 16S ribosomal RNA". It matches the Rfam family "Bacterial small subunit ribosomal RNA", at positions 354 to 796 of the family's 1533-position model. The record is from RNAcentral.
GUGGGGAAUCUUCCACAAUGGACGAAAGUCUGAUGGAGCAACGCCGCGUGAGUGAAGAAGGUUUUCGGCUCGUAAAGCUCUGUUGUCGGGGACGAAUGUGCAGUAUUUGAAUAAAGUAGUGCAAUGACGGUACCUGACGAGGAAGCCACGGCUAACUACGUGCCAGCAGCCGCGGUAAUACGUAGGUGGCAAGCGUUGUCCGGAAUUAUUGGGCGUAAAGGGAGCGCAGGCGGGAAGGUAAGUCGGUCUUAAAAGUGCGGGGCUCAACCCCGUGAUGGGAUCGAAACUAUCUUUCUUGAGUGCAGGAGAGGAAAGUGGAAUUCCUAGUGUAGCGGUGAAAUGCGUAGAUAUUAGGAGGAACACCAGUGGCGAAGGCGACUUUCUGGACUGUAACUGACGCUGAGGCUCGAAAGCCAGGGGAGCGAACGGGAUUAGAAACCCGGGUAGUCC